UUUUCCCUGCCAUGCCCGGCAGGGGCCUAAUUCUCCAACCCAACACCAUCCAUGACGGGAGCUGGUGUUUGCCUGUGGACGGCGCGUCCGUUCGACCGGAAUUCCGGCAAGCAGGUGACAGGUUCCCACCUUAUUCCAAUAAGGUCUGGAGAUUCGUCCCACCGGCAUGGCGGGGAUUUU
Molecule: non-coding RNA, 180 nt
Filed under: Lentisphaerota bacterium
Lineage: Bacteria; Pseudomonadati; Lentisphaerota
Description: Lentisphaerae bacterium (anaerobic digester metagenome) 6S RNA
Rfam family: 6S / SsrS RNA
About the family: E. coli 6S RNA was the first non coding RNA to be sequenced, but its function was unknown until recently.
Source: RNAcentral